Molecule: ribosomal RNA, 462 nt
Filed under: Rhacophorus bipunctatus (Himalaya flying frog)
Lineage: Eukaryota; Metazoa; Chordata; Amphibia; Anura; Rhacophoridae
Description: partial 16S ribosomal RNA
Rfam family: Bacterial large subunit ribosomal RNA
Source: RNAcentral
CUUGUUCUUUAAAUAGGGACUCGUAUCAACGGCAUCACGAGGGUUACACUGUCUCCUUCCUCCAAUCAGUGAAACUGAUCUCCCCGUGAAGAAGCGGGGAUGAACUAAUAAGACGAGAAGACCCCAUGGAGCUUUAAACCUCACAGCAACUCUAAUAUUUAAUUCCUCAUAAUUUACAGGGCAGUGCACGUCGGUUUUAGGUUGGGGCGACCGCGGAGUAAAAAUUACCCUCCACGACGAAAAGAACUAAAUCUUUAUUUAAGAGCAACUACUCUAAAAAUUAGCACACUAACGAACAAUGAUCCGAUUAUCGAUCAACGGACCAAGUUACCCUGGGGAUAACAGCGCAAUCUACUUCAAGAGCCCAUAUCAACAAGUAGGCUUACGACCUCGAUGUUGGAUCAGGGUAUCCCGGUGGUGCAGCCGCUACUAAUGGUUCGUUUGUUCAACGAUUAAAACCCU